AAAAUAGCCAUGCUGACAUGUCCGUAUUGUGUUGUAAAUGUAUCCUUGCCCAUUAAAUGAACCAAUUUGUGUGUUUCGCACAAUUGUUUAGCUAUCAUAAUUCAGUCUCACUGCAUCAUUAAAUAAGUAAACAAAUACAUGUUCUAGUUCUAACCCAUUGGUCCUCACAGAAUCAUUUUUAUCUGCCUUCAAAAUACUUCAGAAAUCCAGUACAUCAGACGUGUUCACAAUCCAAUUUGUGCCCAUGCGUGACUACAGAAUUACAUUAUCAAAAUGCUAAUAGACCUUAAAUGCAAAACCAAAACAACAAAAAGAACUUACCCAUUCAUAAUUCUUUGAAAGAAA
RNAcentral lists this unclassified non-coding RNA (345 nucleotides) under Hevea brasiliensis (rubber tree). Lineage: Eukaryota; Viridiplantae; Streptophyta; Magnoliopsida; Malpighiales; Euphorbiaceae. The record is from RNAcentral.